ACGCUGGCGGUAGGCCUAACACAUGCAAGUCGAACGGCAGCACAGUAAGAGCUUGCUCUUAUGGGUGGCGAGUGGCGGACGGGUGAGGAAUACAUCGGUAUCUACCUUUUCGUGGGGGAUAACGUAGGGAAACUUACGCUAAUACCGCAUACGACCUUCGGGUGAAAGCAGGGGACCUUCGGGCCUUGCGCGGAUAGAUGAGCCGAUGUCGGAUUAGCUAGUUGGCGGGGUAAAGGCCCACCAAGGCGACGAUCCGUAGCUGGUCUGAGAGGAUGAUCAGCCACACUGGAACUGAGACACGGUCCAGACUCCUACGGGAGGCAGCAGUGGGGAAUAUUGGACAAUGGGCGCAAGCCUGAUCCAGCCAUACCGCGUGGGUGAAGAAGGCCUUCGGGUUGUAAAGCCCUUUUGUUGGGAAAGAAAAGCAGCUGGCUAAUACCCGGUUGUUCUGACGGUACCCAAAGAAUAAGCACCGGCUAACUUCGUGCCAGCAGCCGCGGUAAUACGAAGGGUGCAAGCGUUACUCGGAAUUACUGGGCGUAAAGCGUGCGUAGGUGGUUGUUUAAGUCUGUUGUGAAAGCCCUGGGCUCAACCUGGGAAUUGCAGUGGAUACUGGGCGACUAGAGUGUGGUAGAGGGUAGUGGAAUUCCCGGUGUAGCAGUGAAAUGCGUAGAGAUCGGGAGGAACAUCCAUGGCGAAGGCAGCUACCUGGACCAACACUGACACUGAGGCACGAAAGCGUGGGGAGCAAAC
Molecule: ribosomal RNA, 753 nt
Filed under: uncultured bacterium
Lineage: Bacteria
Description: bacterial SSU rRNA
Rfam family: Bacterial small subunit ribosomal RNA
Source: RNAcentral